CCCUUAGAUGUUCUGGGCUGCACGCGCGCUACACUGAUGCACUCAACGAGUUUACGACCUUGCCCGAUAGGGUUGGGUAAUCUUUUUAAAAUGCAUCGUGAUGGGGAUAGAUUAUUGCAAUUAUUAAUCUUCAACGAGGAAUUCCUAGUAAGCGCGAGUCAUCAGCUCGCGUUGAUUACGUCCCUGCCCUUUGUACACACCGCCCGUCGCUACUACCGAUUGGGAAAAUUUUAGAGAGUCCUGGACUGAUGAUUGUUCGGCUUCACGGCCUUACUUUCGUCGGGAAAGAAUUCGAUAAUAUUUUUCUAGAGGAAGUAAAAGUCGUAACA
This 329-nucleotide ribosomal RNA is filed under the name uncultured eukaryote. Its description in RNAcentral is "partial 18S ribosomal RNA". It matches the Rfam family "Eukaryotic small subunit ribosomal RNA", at positions 1470 to 1796 of the family's 1831-position model. The record is from RNAcentral.